CCAGACUCCUACGGGAGGCAGCAGUGAGGAAUAUUGGUCAAUGGCCGAGAGGCUGAACCAGCCAAGUCGCGUGAGGGAAGACGGCCCUACGGGUUGUAAACCUCUUUUGUCGGGGAGCAAAGCGAGUCACGUGUGACUCAUUGAGAGUACCCGAAGAAAAAGCAUCGGCUAACUCCGUGCCAGCAGCCGCGGUAAUACGGAGGAUGCGAGCGUUAUCCGGAUUUAUUGGGUUUAAAGGGUGCGCAGGCGGAGGUGCAAGUCAGCGGUCAAAUUGCGGGGCUCAACCCCGUACUGCCGUUGAAACUGGCAGUCUUGAGUGGGCGAGAAGUAUGCGGAAUGCGUGGUGUAGCGGUGAAAUGCAUAGAUAUCACGCAGAACUCCGAUUGCGAAGGCAGCAUACCGGCGCUCAACUGACGCUCAUGCACGAAAGCGUGGGUAUCGAACAGGAUUAGAUACCCUGGUA
This 463-nucleotide ribosomal RNA is filed under the name uncultured bacterium. RNAcentral's name for it is "bacterial SSU rRNA". It matches the Rfam family "Bacterial small subunit ribosomal RNA", at positions 331 to 792 of the family's 1533-position model. The record is from RNAcentral.